GUGCCAGCCGCCGCGGUAAGACGAACCGUCCGAACGUUAUUCGGUAUCACUGGGCUUAAAGCGUGCGUAGGCGGCUUGGUAGGUGAGAUGUGAAAGCCCACGGCUCAACCGUGGAAUUGCGUUUCAAACCCCCAAGCUCGAGGAAGAUAGGGGUGAUGGGAACUUAUGGUGGAGCGGUGAAAUGCGUUGAUAUCAUAGGGAACACCGGUGGCGAAAGCGCAUCACUGGAUCUUUUCUGACGCUGAGGCACGAAAGCUAGGGUAGCGAACGGGAUUAGAUACCCCGGUAGUCCUAGCUGUAAACGAUGAGCACUGGGUUGAGGGAACUUCCACAUUCUCUCGGCCGUAGCGAAAGCGUUAAGUGCUCCGCCUGGGGAGUAUGGUCGCAAGGCUGAAACUCAAAUAAAUUGGCGG
RNAcentral lists this ribosomal RNA (413 nucleotides) under uncultured Rubripirellula sp. RNAcentral's name for it is "bacterial SSU rRNA". It matches the Rfam family "Bacterial small subunit ribosomal RNA", at positions 505 to 916 of the family's 1533-position model. The record is from RNAcentral. Lineage: Bacteria; Pseudomonadati; Planctomycetota; Planctomycetia; Pirellulales; Pirellulaceae.